AGGGAGACGAUUGAUCCCACCGUUUUGAGAAAGGGCUCAAAUUGCCGCUCGCGAAAGAGAGAAGUCAGAAGAGGGAAAAGAAAAAGAAUAUAGAGAAAGAAGAGUUAGAUGGAGGAGAGAGAAAUUACCUGAAUUGGCUUUUGGUUGGGUACGACAAUUACAGUCCCAAAGUGGCUCAAACGGAAAAGUUUUCUCUCUCCUCCUCUCUAAGGGUGUGUUUGAUAACAUAAGUUAGAAGCGGAAGAAAGAACUUCCCCAUUACUGUACAAGUUAUCGUGUUUGAUGGAAAAAGAAGACUUUAAAUGGGAACUCUACUAUACUGUUUAUGUUCGUACUCUCGCGUGUAAAAAAAUCCAAAGCUUAAAAUAGGAAGUUGGUUUCGGACUUACCUCCCCAAACUUCUUCAUGCAACCCCCGAUAACCCUAGCCCUCUUCGUCCCUUCUUCCCAUAGCCAUUGAGCACCCUCUCUUCCCAUGUCUCCAUCUUCGCCAUUGAGCACCCUCUCUUUGCAGCAUGACCCCUCUCCUCGAGUUCAGCCCUGAGCCAGUGCCCUAUUCGCAGCACGAUCCCUCUCUUCGCGCUCAGCCCUCAGCCAACUCUCUGUUCGCAGCACGCCAUUAUCUCAGGCAGGCUCUUCUCUUCAUAUGCAGCCCUCGCUAGAGUCUACUCAGCUGUCAUUGAGCUCUGAUUCUUGCUAUUGAUUAAGAUGGGAUGGAAGUAGGAGGAUAGUAACCACCGGGGUUGCUGUUUGGAAUGACUUCCUAACGGAGAAUGAAUGGACAAACAAAUACCAAAACAAGACUUUGCCCAAGUAUUCGCUGCUAAGUAAAAUCUAUGAGGGUGAAACGACAGAUGGGACGUAAAAAUCUAUUGGCAGUGGCAUCAGAAUUGAGCGAGAAAGGCCCAACCAUGCAUUCUUUGACAACCCCCCAUUAGAAGUCUAGGAUGAAUCUAACUCAUCAUCAUCUGAUGAGCUAGUAUUAUCUGGAUAAAAAAGACGACGGUCCCAUACUCUGAUAGGAGCACAACGCCGAUCAAAGCAAAUCGCCCACUUUGAGUCCAUGACUUUAGCCAUGACAAAGAUGGCUCAUAGCAUUGAGAUGCUGGCAUGUGACACUACAGGUAACAACAGUACUCCUGUGGUGGAUGGUCCGUCCAAGGCUAGGAGAGAUGCUUGUAAAAUUGCUGAAGGCAUGUGAAAAGCAGGUGAAGUAGGUGAUGCUGUCCUUUUAACAGCGUCAAGGACUUCAAAGAUUCUAUAAAGGCGGAGAUGUUACAAAACUUGGAGGAUCCAAGGAUACAAAAGACUUACUUAGAUGAAGAGAUGAAACACCUCCAAUAGAGUUCUGAUUGACUAUGUUUAAUUUUAACAUCAAAGACUGCUUCUUUCAAUUGUAUGUGGAUGGCUUAUGUCAUUUUAAUGUCAAAUAUUGCUUCAUGGUUUGCUUUAUAGA
Long non-coding RNA from Amborella trichopoda, 1455 nucleotides. RefSeq lists it as uncharacterized. Lineage: Eukaryota; Viridiplantae; Streptophyta; Magnoliopsida; Amborellales; Amborellaceae. The record is from RefSeq and is a predicted model, not a curated record.